AUUUAUAUCACAAAAUCUUUCAUUUCACAUUUAAAUAUUAUUAGUAUAUAUUACAAAUUCCAAAACUUCAAUAACAAAAAUAUGAGAUAUCCUACUCUCAUAACUCAAUAAUCCAAAUUCAAUACAUAAAAAUUUCUACCAUCCAAUCAAAUGCCUACUACUUGUGGCUAAAUUUAAUAAAUCUAGAAGCUAAAUUGAGAAGGAUGAAUGUCUUUCACUCUUUGAAUAUGAGUAGUAUAAUUGCGUUAUCACACCAGCAGCUUCUCCAUUCAAUAGACUGUAUAGGUUAGGAUAUAAGUGAAGUUGAAGAAUAAACACU
This 319-nucleotide long non-coding RNA is filed under the name Citrus sinensis (sweet orange). RNAcentral's name for it is "long non-coding RNA (CSIN_LNC005079)". The record is from RNAcentral. Lineage: Eukaryota; Viridiplantae; Streptophyta; Magnoliopsida; Sapindales; Rutaceae.